AAGUGUUAUCUGACUGCUUUUGCAUCAUAAUUUUAUUUAAUCUUAAAAUAUAAGCAAUGAAAGAGAUAAGAGCCCUUUAAAUAUUUAGUUUAGCUUCUAAUCACAGUAUGAUUGCAAAAUAUGAAUUCAGUAUGCCAAAGAUGUGCUUGUGAUGUUUGAAUGUUUGGGAUAUAAAAAUAUGUGUGUUUGUGUGUCUUGCUUGUUUUGAGGUAUUGUUAUUUCUCUGGGACUUAACUUAGCCUCUACUGCUGUUAAGAGUGCUUUAGAGGUUAUAUAAGUUCCCGAUAUUGAUUUCCAUUCUUCAACUUUAUCAGUUGGUAAUUGAUAUGCGGCCAGUUGAUUUUCAUGGUUGGUACAUUUUGUUCUUCUGUGUAGAUUAAAUAUUUUGUUUUUUCUUUUAUAUAAAUGUUUUUGUUUUCAUGGGAUAAUGCAAUUUCUUUUCACUUCUCUAGUAAAUGUGUUGUUAUGAUACUGUGAAAAUGGAUCUCAUAUCAUAUAUUUGUUUCUGGAGAACAUAUUUAUAUUUUUUAUUCUGAACUUUUUUUCAUAGUCACGCCACGACUUGUUUGGAAAGCAGAUUGCUCGUUUUAUAUUAUGUUUCAUUAAUCAUAAUCAUUACUCUUUUUGGUGUCAUUAGAGGGACUUAGUUGAACUCUCUUUUACUGUGUCAGGUUUAAUAGAUAGCAUCCUAGUCCUGAUAUUUAUUUCCUUUUCCAUUUUAUAUUCCUGAUCAACCGGGUCAUUUACCCGCAGUUGAUUUCCUUGGGUGGCUCAUAAUUUUAUAUAUGUACAUGUAUAUUGUAUCAUAUACCGACGAAUCCUAGACAAAUUCAACACUCCCGUUCUAAGGGAUAUUCGGGUCUUAGUACGACCCAAUUUAGGAAGCAUCUCUUAUAGAAAUUGUAGCUUGAGAUGUUAUUUUUCUAAUGAAUCCAACCUCGCUCGAUUUUUUUAAAUGAUGAAAAUGAAAAAAAAUCAUUUUUUUAUUAAAAAAACCUAAAGAAGGACUGAAGUCAAAUCAGGUUAAUCUUCAAAAUUUAUGACCCGGGUCAUAAGACCGGGUUACCCCAUGGAAUGCAAACCCGAAAAAAUUACAAAGCACAAUUUCCAGUCAUCUAGAUUUAAAAAAUAAAAUAGAUAACAAUUAAAAUAAUAAGGAUCAAAUUUGGUAUAAAAAAUAUAUUAAAUAAGACAACGAGGGAUGAAAUUAAAAAAUAAAAAAAAUCAAGAAAAUGAUAAAAAAAAAAUAAAAAGAAUGAAGAUCAAAUUUGGUAUAAAUUAAAUGAAAUAAAGUAAUGAGGGAUUGAAUCAAAUCCGUUAUAAAAAUUAAAUGAAAUAAAGUAAUGAUGGAUGAAAUUGAGAAAUAAAAUAAAUCAAGAUAAGGUUAGAAAAUCAAGAAAUAACAAUCAAGAUAAUGAGAACCAAAUAUGAUAGAUAAAAAAAUUAAAGGAGGAUGAAAUUGAAAAAUAAAUUCAAUUUUAUAAACUAUUUUAAAUAAAAUCAAUAGUACUCAAAAUAAUAAGGAUAAGAUUUGAAUGAAAAAAAUUGAAGAGUUGGUUGAGAAAUUACAGGGGUGGACCUCAUCGUGUCAACCACCUUUAAAAAAAAUAAUAUUUUUAUUUAUUUCAUUACUAGAGUGCUUCUCAAUCAACUUGUUUAUUACAAAAAAAAACAUGAUGAAAAGACACAAAAACCCCUAAACGCCAAUUCUUUUUUUUUUUUAAGAGUAAAUGGAUCAUUUUAUUGUUCUUUAAAAAGUGAAAAUACAAAAAAGCUCCUAAAGCCAAGUUUAAAAAAAAUAUAUCUUUUAAGAAUGAUUAAGUCAUUUUACUAUACUUAUAAAAUAUGAAAAGACCUCAUUGUCCUUGUACAAUUAAAAAAUGACUUUUAGACAAUAAAGUAAAGAUUGUUCCACUACUAAUAGAGGGUUUAAAGAUUUUUCUUUAAAUUAUAGAAUGAUCAUUUCACUGUUUUAAUCCAUAAUGACUUUAAUUCUAAUAUAUAAUGAAAAACUAAGCAAUUACUGUAUUUUUAUAUGAAAAUCCUUUUUUAUUUUAAUAAUAAAAAUAAUGGAACGAGGAUGAAAAGAUUGGAUUUUUUUAUAUUUAUAAUCUAUUUAUUCAAAUCACAAUAAAUGUUUUUAUCCUAUCACUAGUAAAAAAAACACAUUUUUCUACCAAUCCACGUGACAACAUCCUUAUUAAUUAUUUCUUUUGCUUUUUGUUUAUAAUGCGGCUAACAAAACCCUUUUAGAUUGUCAUUAGGCCCUGCGUGCUGGAUCAAAAGCCAAUUAUUGCAUUAAAAAAAGUGAGUUUUGUUAUUUUUUCCAGCAUAUGAAAUGGUGACUAGUAAUGAUUUGGUAUUUUUUUUCCUUUUGUUUUCGCCGACAUAUUUAAGAUUUAUCAAAAUUUCUACCGAAAUUUCAACAAAGUCUUCCCUAUACUGGGAAAAUCUCAAGUUAUCGAAAAUUUAUCUUGUACUCAUUUUAUGCUCAUUCCGCAAUCAUAACAUAUUCAUACUGCAUCGUAACCACUAUCAUUACUAGUCACAAGCAUGAUAGCUCACAUAUUCAUUUUUUCUUCUCAUUUACAAGCGCAUACAAAAUGGUAGUCAAACAUGGAUAAACAACAUUAAUAUAUUAAUAAGCAUAAAAUAUUAAGAAUCUUGAAAUCUCUAUGAUUAAUAUAAAGAGAUACUAAUACAAUUCUAGUCAUAUAAUUACCUAGGGCAGCAUGCAUUGACAUUUUUUUUUAAUUUCUAAUUCAUACAAAAGGAACUAGAAACACUAAUUUCCUAAUUUAUACAAAAGGAAUUAGAAACAUGAAUUUCCUAAUUCAUACAAAAAGAAUUAGAAACCUAGGACGCUACUCCUGGCUUGGCUUGAAUGUGACGGACUUGCAAUAUCAAAAUAUGAAAAUAAUUAUAUUAAAAGUAAAAAUACAGAAGAGAUGAGGGAGAGUCACAAAUACAUGUAUAUACAUAUAUAAUUGACUACUCGAUGGUACACAAUCAUAGUUUUCCUGGAAACCCACACCUAAAAUUUUCCUUUAUUACAUCUAGAGCCUAUCAUUCCGUAACUCACUUAUGAUUUUUCUUUUUACGAUUAUUAUCCAUUAUUCUUCACCGGGUACAUCCAUCUUACUACCCUAUCCCAAAUUUAGGAAGGUUACUACCGACAUUAAUAAUUUCUAUUAGUGUCAUUAAUUGCCUUUACCAGGACUUACUAAUCAAAUCCUUAGUAAUGUCAGCACCAACUUACUGGUUGCUGCCAUUAACUAUUUCCAACCCGAAAUAAUAAAUCAAUUCUUUCCUGCCUUACCUUGGAGAUUUCUCCGGUAAUGCUGAUGCUAAGAUCUUUUGACAUCAUUAGCUUCCUUUUUGGGAAGCUAAUCAAAUUAUCCUGGGUUUGCCGAUAUCGACAUUGUCUGUCGGUAUCAUUAACUACUCUUAACCCGAAUAGUCAAUCAAGUUCAACAUUCAUUAUAUUUCCAUCAAGAUCAUGCUGAUGUUAGCAAAACUUGCUAACAUUAUUAGCCACCCAUAUUUGGGAUCGACUAAUCAAGUCCAGAGGUGGUUGUUUUAGAUUCAUUAUUUGAAAUCGAAGUCCAUAAGUGCAAGUCCAUAAGUGCACAACUAAAAUCAAAUUUCAAUCCAUGUUCGUUUCAUCAAAUCUUUCAUUUCUUUAACUUUAUAAUAAAAUAGAAUACUAGUUUCACUCUUAACUAAGGAGAGUAUAGGUGUGAAACACCUACUUGCCACUGAUGCUCGAUUUGCGCUCCUUUGUUGUUGUACCCCCCCGAUGGUUACUCUUGAAUUCGUAAGUAAAUCACAUUAAUUCAUAUCCAAUUUUCAUUUUGCAAACGGCAAGGCAACAACAACAACAUUUACUCUUCACGUUUCAUUGUUUUAGAUCAUUAUGCACAUCAUCAAUUUCAUUUUCAAAUGUGGUUUACCCCCUUCCGAUGUCAAGAUUCGAUGUUAGAAAAAUUUUAAUAGGAAGGAAACCGAUUUUUUCCCUUAUCACGGAUAACAUUUCCCAUUUUAUCAUUUCUCACUGAAUCUGCUAGCAGGGACAACAGUUCAACCUUCCUUCAUAUAUUUACCUAUAUUCGGAGCUUUAGAGCUCUAAAUUGAGCGAGGUUGGAUUCAUUAGAAAGAUAACAUCUCAAGCUACAAUUUCUAUGAGAGAUGUUUCCUAAAUUGUGUCGUCCUGAGACUCGAAUAUCCUCUAGAACGGGAGUGACGAAUCUGUCCAGGAUUCGUCGGCGAUUCCUAAGUGAGUUUUCUACUAUAACUGGUUCAUGCAUGAAAAUAUAUAACACACCAGAAUUCUUCUUCUUUCCCUCCAUUUGGCUCUUGGCCGAGCUUAGUCUAAAGGGACUAAGGAUUUCCUUUUUCUUUCUAGCUGAUUUUUCUUACCUCAUUAACUCCUUGUCCACAUUCUAUACAUACUAUAAGUGUUCAUCAACUUAAAUUUUAGAAUUCCUUUCCUUCCCCAUUCCAUCCUCACAUGGCCGGCCACUCAAGCUUUUGAGUCAAUGAUUUUUGUUUAACAAUCUUAUGUGUUUUUCAUGUUUAGAACAUCUUCUGUUAGCUUAACUAACCUCAUUCUAACAAUUUCUACAUUUCCCCCAAAUUUUCCUUCAAGAACCUUAAUUUAUAAAAUCUGAAAUUGGUGCAUAAUUCCUACUUAAUUGUUAAUUUAUUUUACACCAUUAAGUCUAGUGUCUUGAAAAAUACCAUCUUCACCUUUAUAUCCAAAUGAAUUAGACAUUUUUAAAUGUUUUUGUUCGAAUAAAUGGAGUCUUAACUUAGUAUGUGUUUAAUAUUAUAAUAGUUUUUGUGGUUGUAAUUUUAAAAAAAAUAGGUAAUUUUUUUUAAAAAAUAGGUAAAAAUAACAUUUUUAGUUGUAAUUUUUUAAAAAAAUGUUUAAUUUAAACUAUACAUGUAAAAUAAAUAAAAAAUAUUAUUUUAGUUUAUAUAAAAGUAAGGUUUGAACAAAACUACAUGUGACCCCAGUGUAAAAAAAAAAAAAAACCUAUAUGACUAACAAAACUAUUCUUUCUAAGUAGUUUGACAAAAAAAACAACUACUGUACUAAACGGUUUCUAUUGCGUAUCCAAUAAUUUUAAGAGGAUACGACAUCGUUUAUCAUUCUCUGCGUUGUUCAAGGAGGAGAAACCACCAUCCCCCACUGACAGAGAGUCUUGGAAAGAGAGGAGAAAAUUAUCUCUCCAAGAAAAUGGCGGACCUCACCUCAAACUCUAGUAAGAUGGCUACUCUUAAGACUAAACAGUGUCUAAACCUCAUAACUCGAUUCAUCAACUCUCGAACUCCACCUUUUCAUUACAAAAAUACCCGCACUCUCCAAACCCUAGCUUUCGAAGAAAUCCAAUCUUCACCCAACAAACCUGACGCGCCUACAGCUUUCAUUCUCCACGGGCUCUUAGGUUCUGGUCGCAACUGGCGUUCUUUCUCUCGCAAUCUCGCUUCCUCUCUUUCUGGUACACUAUCGCUCUCUUACUUUCUUUGUUCUUUUUCUAUAUUUUGGAUUCUUGAUUUUGAUUUGGUUAUUUACUAUAGAGUGGAGGAUGGUGCUUGUGGAUAUGAGGAACCAUGGCAAAUCUGUUGAUAUAGAGGGAUUAGACCCACCUCAUAAUAUGUUUAAUGCGGCUAUGGAUGUGGCUAAUUUGGUGAAAGAGAAAGGUUGGGAAUGGCCCGAUGUUGUUAUUGGUCAUUCUAUGGGAGGCAAAGUUGCUUUGCAAUUUGCUGAGAGCUGCACUCGUGGUGAUUAUGGUCAUUCUGUUUCUUUUCCUAAACAGGUAUUCUUUUUCAUUGGAAGAUUCAUUACUAUCUUUUAACAAACUGGUGUGGUCUUCUUUCUAUAGUGGAAAUUGAAGUGGGCGUUUUGUCAUUCUUGUGAAAUGAAUUGACGGAUUUUUUUUUCUUGCAUGUAUUUCUCAAUAAUUGGCUGCACUGUAAACUAUAUAACGGAAUGAAACUUGAAUCAAUGUUGAUCCUUGAAGGGAUCUGAUGUUUUCAUGGGUUGUUAGGUGAAGUGUGUGUAUGUUGAAUAAUGAGAUGAAUUAUAUAGUUUCACUGUUUGUUUGUUUUAGCUAUCGUAUCUGCUGUUUAAGUUGAUCAUGUGAAGUGAUUUUGAAUGAUGGCAUUUCACUUCUGCUCUUGUAGUUAUUUUCAUCUGUCAUUACUGAUGAAUGUGUGUUCCGUGUCUUAUACCGGUCAAUUAAGUAUAUAAAUCUUUCUGGGUUUGUUUGAUAAAUUCUUGUUGUGUUUGGGCAUGAGGUCAUUUCUGUUCUUUAAUGUUUAAUUCCUUGUGCAGAACAGCUGUGGGUACUGGAUUCUGUGCCUGUAGAAGUAAGUCCUGAAUAUAGUGAUGGAGAAGUUGAAAAAGUUUUGAGGACCUUGCAUAGUUUACCCUCACCAAUCCCAUCACGAAGGUAAAUGUUUCUAUCAUGUUAUUGAUCUGACAUUUUAUUUUUGUUUUUGGUUUUACUUGCAUGAUUACUGCAUUUUGUGGGCCAAGUAUCACCUUAUUUAGGAAAUAUAGAUGCAGGCAUCGGCAUAGUUGUUUGUUUUUGGAACUAGAUUACCAUUUUGUAAUCCAAUUUCCAAAUGAGGAUUAGUUCUCAUAUAUGAUAAUUGUUAUAGUUCUGGUGGAAAUUAAAGUUCUUAAUCUUCUUCAUAGGCAGAACCCUGGAAUUGGAGCAGAUCAAUAGGUGCUCAUGCUGCACUCAUGUAUUCACUAAUGUGAUAUAGACCAUUAUUUAAAGCCUGGAAUUACUCUACUUUCUGGAGCUCAAAUUCAUAUGGAAUCUGUUAAUAAAGGGCCCUCAUCUCUGAUAUGAAUAUGAACUCCUGUAGAAGUGCAGGACUCACGACAUCAAACAAUUGAACAGAUGUUUAAAUACAAAGUUUGCCAUAUAAGAAAAUAUCUAUUAAACCAAUCACAAAAAUUCCAGUUACAAUAGCUAUUAUCUAAAGAGGAAUCCUUUUAAUAUUACUAGCCAGUUCCCUCCAUGUUAAUGAAAUGGUCUUGCUACAACAUAAACAAUCAUAGAUAAUUAUGUGAUGAUAUUCUUCCUACAAGAUGAGAGAACUUUCUCUUAUUUAAUACUUUCUUCUAGGGAUGACAAUCUAACUCAAAUAUGAUGGAUACUCACUAACCUGAGUGAGUGGGUUUUUUUGGAUAGUUAUUGUUUCAGAUUGAGUAUGAAUAUCUAAAUUUCUUUACUCAAUGGCUAAUAGUUAGGGUAUGAAUAUUGUUAAACUCAACCCAAAAUCUGAUCCAAACCCAAACCGAAAUAUAUACGUUGGAAUUUUAUAUAUAUAAUACUCUUUUAUUUUAUAUGGAUUACUAAAUAAGAAUCAGGUAACAAUUGCCUGAAGCUUGAUGAAUUGAGUAUGGAUAUUAAAAUUUCUUAUAUAAUGGGUAAUGGAUAGAGUUGGGCUAUUUGUUUUGUAUAUAAGUUUGAAUAUGUUAGAAAUCCAAUCCGUGAGUAUCCAUUGCCAUCCUUAUCUUUUCUUUUCUUUUAUUUAAUUAGGCUCCAUUCCACAUCUGUCACAUUGAAUCAAGACCAGGCAUAAUCUUUGUUUCUGCUUAUUUAAUUCCCUUCUCCACUCUUUAGCCUAGACAAUGUAAUGUUGGACAUUUAGCAUGAAAUUGCAUGAUCAAGUAUUGCUUGAAGCUUUCAGCUAAGCCCAAAAUCUCCUUAUCUUUUAUGAAUCGUGGAUAAAAUGCACAAGUUGUGGUAUUUCUUGGAAUGGAAUUUCUAUUAGAAAACAUCAUCUGGGAGAGUAAAUCAAUUUAUAUCAUUCAUGAAGGAUGAGCAAGCAGAUACAAGAGUAUAUUAUGCUUUAGGUUCAGUGUCUCUGUGGCUCCCAGUUUUUUCACGGUAUCAAAUUAACCCCCCCUCCCCCGGGAUGAUUAUGGUUUCAGCUGGCUUGUGAACCACAUGAUUCAACUUGGUUUCUCAAAAUCAUUAUCAGAAUGGAUUGGAAGCAACCUCAAGAAAUCUGGAGAGCAAGAGAGUUGGGCCUUUGAUCUCAAAGGUGCUAUCCAGAUGUUCAACUCUUACAGGUCAACCUUUAUUUUUUUUUAUCGAAUCAAUCAAAUUUAAAUGCCUUCCUUUGUGGAAUAUAAAUAAUGACAUUGACGGUCUAAAUAGUGAAUAUAAAAAUUUUGUAGGGAGACUUCAUAUUGGUCUUUGCUGGAACAUCCACCAAAAGAAAUGGAGAUAGGGCUAGUGGUUGCAGAGAAGAGUGACCGCUGGGAUCCAGAUUUAAUUCAGCGACUUGAAAGCCUUUCUAGCCGGACCGGGGAUGAAUCUGAGGGGAAGUUCUCGCUUCAUGUUCUUCCAAAUUCAGGGCACUGGGUUCAUGUGGACAAUCCAAAGGGACUUCUUGAGAUUGUGACUCCCAGGAUGGCUUCCCUUUCGACAUAAUCGUAUGGAUUUUAGGUUGUGAUUUGUAAGUCAGAUUUGCUAUAAAAGUAUGAUCAAAUUACCAGUAUUCCAGAUCAUUUGGAUAGUACUGUUUUUUCCCACUGUGAUGCAAGAGGUUGAUUUUUUCUAGUCAUGCUUGAACAAUAUGAAUAAUUGAUCUUUUCUUUGCAAGUAAAUGUUUGGGAAUGGUUAAGUGCCUAAUAAAAAACAACCAUAACGGAAGGCAAAUUACCUGUAAUAUUUGCUUUCAAUUUUUGAAUUUUUAUUUUUAUUUUUUUAAAGACUAUUUAAUGUCUGUUAGUUAACAAUACUCUUCAUAUACUUGUAGAUGAUUUUCUUAGAUGAUUUUCUUGGGUGGUGUUUGCAUCUGUGAAUGCUUGUAUCUAUGUGACAUAUUUAAAUUGUGAUACCUCUAUUUUCCUUCCGUUGGUGUGAUAACAUAUACUUGUUUGGCUGCUGACUAUAGAAAUAAGUGUGACUAUAACAAUUAACCAAAAAAAAAAAAAUUUAAAGGAGAAGGGGGGGUUUUACUAUACCUUAUCUCACACAAUACUAUUUUUUAGAAUACUAUUUUUUUUAUUUUUUUCUCUAUUUUUUUUAGUUUCAAUUUUAUCUUUUCAUGUUGUGGACUACAUAUUUAAUAUAUUAACUUGAUUGGUUGACUCGAGUUUUUUUUAAUUGAUUGAGAAUUAGAUUUCGUGAUGUCUCAGUCUAUUUUUUAUAAGGUUAUUCUCAUCUCAUGACUCCAGUUAUGAGUUUAGCGAGUUAACUUUAGUUGACUUGAGUUUUUUUCCUGCUCUUUUUAAUUGAUUUUUUUUUCAAUUGCAUCUUUUAACAUUAAGUUGAUUGAGAUUUAAAUUUCAUAAUUUGUUUUAAUUUGAUUUCAAUUGUUAUCCUGGUCUCAUGAUUUGGAUCGUGAGUUUAUUAAGUUAACUUGAUUUAUUUUUUUGAUUUUUUUAAUUGAUUUUUUUCAGUUUCAUCUUUAAAAGUUUUAUUAUUAGGUUUGUUGAAAAUUAAGUUUUUUUUAUUUGUUAUAAUUUAUUUUUUAUAGAGUUAUAUAAUCAUUCUAUUUUUUUAUUAAUUUAUUUUUUCUCAACAAAAAAAUAUGGGUUUUUUUUAGCAAUGUAUUUAUUUCUUCCUACCCUUCUUGAGGCUGGUCGUCUCCCCUCCCUGUGUUCCUUCUUAUUGAAAAUCGUUGAUCAAUCUGUUUUUUUUUCUCCACCUUUUCCUUUUAGGAUUUGCAAAAGCUCUUCCCCUUCUCUCCAUGUUCUCUUAUCCUCUCUCUAAAAAAAAAAAAUGUCAAAAUAUUCAUAUCUUAAUUGGUCAGAUCUUAAAUUUGAUUUUUAGAAGUUAUCAGUACCACAAAUCUCAUAAUCACUGAAGAUUGAUCGUUAAUUUCAGGGUUUUGAGGAAUUAUUCGAGAUACGUGUAAAUUGAUCUGGAUAUAAAAAAAAAAAAAAAAAAAAAAGGAAAAGAGUGCCCCCUCAACAGUCCAUUAAUCCUUUAGUUUAUUUUUUCUUGACAAUGCAUUUAAUGCCUAUUAGUUUAUCACCCCCACCAUCCAUUAAGCAAAAUCCAUUAAUCCUUUAGCUUUUUUGUGUGAAUAUUAAAUAAAUAACUAAAUUUAUUGUAUUUAUUGCCCAGCAGCCAAGAAGUUGUUCUUUUAGCACCGUGGUAAUCCACAUUGAAAUUGGAUGUGGGUGAACAGGUUUUUCCCACACCCUUCAGUGUUUUUUUUUUUUAAUGUAAUGUUUAAUGCUCAUCUGUCUCCUAGGACAAACAACUGUCUGAAGAAGAAGGGUGGCCACAACAACGAGGUCUUAUACUAAUUAAAUCUUUAUCAUUUUUUUUUAUUUGAGUUAAUUACUGUGUUUUUUUUUUGUUUUUUCCUCCACUGUAUUGUUAUAAUAAAUUCUGAAAUAAUUUUUUUUUCCUUCAUGUGGUCGAGGAAGGAGAAGGUGCCACAAUAGGAGUAAUAUGUUAUAAUAGAAGAUUCAUUUUAUUUAUUUAUUAGAUUUUCAGCUUUCGGAAAACGUUUUGUUUUUUUUUAGACUAUAAUAUUUAGAUUGUAAUUUUUUUUUAGCAUUGUAAUUAAACUUGAUAUAUCAAUUUAAAUUUGAGAAUUCCUGACUCAACUCUUUACUUAGCUCAAAUUUUUAAUUAAAUUGUGUGAGGGGUUGUUCUGAUAUGACCUUAUUAAUUAAGCAUGUUUUUUUUUUAAAUAAAAAAAUAUGCCAGAUUAACCUUAGUUAACUUGUUAAAUCUGUAAUGGAUUCUAUUGGGUCGAAUUAAUUUUUUAUAUUUUAUUAUAUGAUAAAAAAAAUAUAAAAAUCAAUUUUUAAUCAAUCUAAUACUAAAUGAUAAAAUUUUAUAAAAAUUCAAUAUUAAAUAAUGAUUUUUUUAUAAAAAAAACUAAAAGAUAUAAAAAAAACUUAAAGUACAAACUAAAAAGAAGAUUAGAUGUAUGAGUUUGAGUAAUCCAGCAUAAUUGCACCUAUUACUGAAAAACCAAGGACAUUGACCUCAAACAGGCCCAUGCUUCUGGAUAAUUUUUUUUCUUUUUAGAAGGUUGGAAUAAGAUGUGAACGACCUCCUCUUUUUUUUUUUUUUAAAUAAAAAAUACAUAAACAACAUAUCAUCUAUUUUAUAAAAUAUAAUAUUGUUCCCAUCAUAGCUUGAUCAUGUGAUCUUUAACUAUUUAAAAACAUGCCAUAACUAAUUAAACUACAAAAUAAAAAUGUUAUAAAAUAAGUAAAAAUAUAUUAAUCUAGUUCACUAUUUAUAAGUUAAACCAAUCCUGCAUUAUUUAGUUGUUUUGUCCUAAAACCAUCUUUAAUAUAUAUAUAUAAUAUUUGAAUGGAUAGAAUAUAAAUAAAAUAAAGGCUCAAUUCAUGAAUACCCUUGCCAACCGCGGCUACAAGUAGAGGCAACUAACACGAGUUCGUGUUGGGCUUUCGAAUUUGAGACCUCUACAUUGGACUUGCUAGAAACCGAAUCAGUGUGAAAAGGCCCAUGUGGCCCAUAACCAUGCUGAAGUCUUCUCGCCGUCAGUCUCCCCAAACGAAAACCCUAGCUGAGCAUGCUAUAAAGUCCUAAUGACACCCAACAACACAGCCGUUCUCAUUUUCAAGAGUGGAAGAUAGAGAGCAAGUAAAGAUGCAGAUCUUUGUGAAAACCCUAACUGGCAAGACCAUUACCCUCGAGGUUGAGAGCAGUGAUACCAUCGAUAAUGUCAAGGCCAAAAUUCAAGACAAGGAAGGUACAUCUUGCCCCCCCUUAUAAUCUCCGACUCUUUCAAAACUGUAAAUGUAAAAAUGUGAGUUUUUUUUUUAUUGGAAAAGGGAUUCCACCGGACCAGCAAAGGUUGAUUUUUGCUGGAAAGCAGCUGGAAGACGGCAGAACUUUGGCUGAUUACAAUAUUCAAAAAGGUUGUUUUCUCUUUUUUUGAAUUGAUUGUUAGUAUUUGUGAAGUUGGCUUUUUCAUGAAAUGAUUAUUAAUUUAUUUUGGUUUGUGUUUUCAUUCAGAAUCAACACUUCAUUUAGUGUUGAGGCUUAGAGGAGGAAUUAUCGAGCCUUCUUUGAUGGCCUUGGCGCGCAAAUACAAUCAAGAGAAGAUGAUUUGCCGCAAGUACGCUGUUUGAUUUUUUUCCAUUAAGUUUAAUGUGUUGCUUUAUGCUUCUUUUGCAAAGUGUUAUCUGACUGCUUUUGCAUCAUAAUUUUCUUUAAUCUUAAAAUAUAAGCAAUGAAAGAGAUAAGAGCCCUUUAAAUAUUUAGUUUAGCUUUUAAUCACAGUUUGAUUGCAAAAUAUGAAUUCAGUAUGCCAAAGAUGUGCUUGUGAUGUUUGAAUGUUUGGGAUUUAAAAAUAUGUGUGUUUGUGUGUCUUGCUUGUUUUGAGGUAUUGUUAUUUCUAUGGGACUUAACUUAGCCUCUACUGCUGUUAAGAGUGCUUUAGAGGUUAUAUAAGUUCCCGAUAUUGAUUUCCAUUCUUCAACUUUAUCAGCUGGUAUUGAUAUGCGGCCAGUUGAUUUUCAUGGUUGGUACAUUUUGUUCUUCUGUGUAGAUUAAAUAUUUUGUUUUUUCUUUUAUAUAAAUGUUUUUGUUUUCAUGGGAUAAUGCAAUUUCUUUUCACUUCUCUAGUAAAUGUGUUGUUAUGAUACUGUGAAAAUGGAUCUCAUAUCAUAUAUUUGUUUCUGGAGAACAUAUUUAUAUUUUUUAUUCUGAACUUUUUUUCAUAGUCACGCCACGACUUGUUUGGAAAGCAGAUUGCUUGUUUUAUAUUAUGUUCCAUUAAUCAUAAUCAUUACUCUUUUUGGUGUCAUUAGAGGGACUUAGUUGAACUCUCUUUUACUGUGUCAGGUUUAAUAGAUAGCAUCCUAGUCCUGAUAUUUAUUUCCUUUUCCAUUUUAUAUUCCUGAUCAACCGGGUCAUUUACCCGCAGUUGAUUUCCUUGGGUGGCUCAUAAUUUUAUAUAUGUACAUGUAUAUUGUAUCAUAUACCGGUGCACAAGGGAGGGGGAUUGACCUGUGUACUGUCAUGGACAGUUAUCUAACCUUCAAUUUUCUUCCUCUAAUUCUUUGGUCUUCAAUUUCAUUUUUUGCUUCAUUUUCAAAACCUCUCUGUCAUCACAUCAGCUAUCAUGAUGAGAUGAAAAAGUAUAGUUCUGAACUCGUAUGUUUGAAUUUUAUCAUAUGGGUAAACACGAAAUGCCUUUAGAGAGCUGUCACUUGUCUGUUGUGUUUUGAAAUUCCAAACUGAGCGCUGCAACUGAAAUGCAUUUUGAAUUUGGAUGAAAUUUUCUUUGCCUGCUAUUGUUGCCUCUCUUUUCUGUUCUUAUAUGGGGUAUUAUAUGGAAUUGUUUGUCUAUCUGCUCAAUUUGUU
Molecule: long non-coding RNA, 13340 nt
Filed under: Populus trichocarpa (black cottonwood)
Lineage: Eukaryota; Viridiplantae; Streptophyta; Magnoliopsida; Malpighiales; Salicaceae
Description: long non-coding RNA (PTRI_LNC003653)
Source: RNAcentral